UGGGGAAUAUUGGACAAUGGGCGCAAGCCUGAUCCAGCCAUGCCGCGUGAGUGAUGAAGGCCUUAGGGUUGUAAAGCUCUUUUACUCGGGAAGAUAGUGACGGUACCGAGGGAAUAAGCCCCGGCUAACUUCGUGCCAGCAGCCGCGGUAAUACGAAGGGGGCUAGCGUUGUUCGGAUUUACUGGGCGUAAAGCGCACGUAGGCGGAUCUUUAAGUCAGGGGUGAAAUCCCGAGGCUCAACCUCGGAACUGCCUUUGAUACUGGGGAUCUUGAGUCCGGAAGAGGUGAGUGGAACUGCGAGUGUAGAGGUGAAAUUCGUAGAUAUUCGCAAGAACACCGGUGGCGAAGGCGGCUCACUGGUCCGGAACUGACGCUGAGGUGCGAAAGCGUGGGGAGCAAAC
Molecule: ribosomal RNA, 401 nt
Filed under: uncultured bacterium
Lineage: Bacteria
Description: bacterial SSU rRNA
Rfam family: Bacterial small subunit ribosomal RNA
Source: RNAcentral